RNAcentral lists this long non-coding RNA (238 nucleotides) under Elaeis guineensis (African oil palm). RNAcentral describes it as "long non-coding RNA (EGUI_LNC064751)". The record is from RNAcentral. Lineage: Eukaryota; Viridiplantae; Streptophyta; Magnoliopsida; Arecales; Arecaceae.
GGUGUUGGUUCUUCUACCUGUUGAACUUCAUCAAGUUCAACCUUAGAGGCAACGGUUCCUUCACCAAGGAACUCUUUUUCUAAAAAGGUUGCCUUAAGGCUGACGAACACCUUUUGUUCAUCAGCAUGGUAGAAAAAAUAUCCUUUGAUCUCUUUAGGGUAUCCUAUGAAUGUAUAUUUGUUAGACCUAGGUCCAAGUUUAUCUGUAACUAACCAUUUGACAUAGGCCGGGCACCCCC